AUUGAACGCUGGCGGCAUGCCUUACACAUGCAAGUCGAACGGCAGCACGGGAGCAAUCCUGGUGGCGAGUGGCGAACGGGUGAGUAAUAUAUCGGAACGUGCCCGGUCGUGGGGGAUAACGUAGCGAAAGCUACGCUAAUACCGCAUACGAUCUACGGAUGAAAGCGGGGGAUCGCAAGACCUCGCGCGAUUGGAGCGGCCGAUAUCAGAUUAGGUAGUUGGUGGGGUAAAGGCUCACCAAGCCAACGAUCUGUAGCUGGUCUGAGAGGACGACCAGCCACACUGGAACUGAGACACGGUCCAGACUCCUACGGGAGGCAGCAGUGGGGAAUUUUGGACAAUGGACGCAAGUCUGAUCCAGCCAUUCCGCGUGCAGGAUGAAGGCCCUCGGGUUGUAAACUGCUUUUGUACGGAACGAAAAGGUUUCUCUUAAUACUAGGAGCUCAUGACGGUACCGUAAGAAUAAGCACCGGCUAACUACGUGCCAGCAGCCG
Molecule: ribosomal RNA, 494 nt
Filed under: uncultured bacterium
Lineage: Bacteria
Description: bacterial SSU rRNA
Rfam family: Bacterial small subunit ribosomal RNA
Source: RNAcentral